AAAAAAAAGAUGGAAGAGGAAAGAGGCAGAGCAAGUUUGAAAGAAAGAUUAUGAGUUUAGGGUUUGUUACUUUGUGAUGGAAGCCAUGAAUGAAGGUACUGUCUGCAAUAACAAACAAAUAAAGGUGAGGAACUCGAGGGGAAGUUGGGGCCGAUGAAAAGAUUCAGAAAGGUGAAAGUUAGUGCCAUGACAUUCCCCAAGCAGAGAAUGUGGUUAGAUCAGGUCCUUCUGGAAUAUUUAAAUGAGGGGAAAAAAAGAAGAAUUGAAGAAGAGAAGGGUUAAAAACCAGCGUUAGACAAAGGGAAUAAGCCUGAAGACCCUAUGUUAUG
This 329-nucleotide long non-coding RNA is filed under the name Bos taurus (domestic cattle). Its description in RNAcentral is "long non-coding RNA NONBTAT012185". The record is from RNAcentral. Lineage: Eukaryota; Metazoa; Chordata; Mammalia; Artiodactyla; Bovidae.